This is a long non-coding RNA of Cavia porcellus (domestic guinea pig), 5479 nucleotides long. RefSeq lists it as uncharacterized. NCBI's taxonomy places the organism in Eukaryota, Metazoa, Chordata, Mammalia, Rodentia, Caviidae. The transcript has 3 exons. The record is from RefSeq and is a predicted model, not a curated record.
UUAUCCUGAAAACUUUCCUCAGGUGGAGCAACUUCAUUCAGUGCCAUGCUGAUAUAAUCCAGCUGGCAUUAAGUUGACCACCAGUUCUCAAUCCAUAGCAUUGAUUUUACUAUGGUUGCUUUGUAGUAUAACUUCAAGUCAGGGAUUGUGAUGCCUCCUGACUUGUCUUUGUUGCUGAGAACUUUCUUUGCUAUUCUAGGUCUCUUCUCACUCCAGAUGAAUUUUAGGAGUGAUUUCUCUAGAUCUAUGAGGUAACAAAACAUGAAUCAUGGAUGGACACAGAGUGAUAUUCAAAGAUUUGAGUUCAACAUGCUUGCCUUAAUCUGUAAAUAUUGAUGUGAUAUGCAUUGAUUACAUCUUCAACAUGAGGUUAUAGUGGAGCUGACAGAGAAGAAGCAAUGAAUGUCCCUUGGUGCAGACUGGACAGUCAUAUUCCAGAUGUCCAACAGCUAAGGUUUAACCAAACAAAAAGGAGGGAUAUGUUAGAGCCAUUGAAGCUGAAUACUCAUGCAGGGCUGUGAUGUGGCCCAGGCAUGAUUAAACUGAGAAUGAAGAGAUGCCUCCUGGGACAAGACAGGCCACAGCUGAGGCCACCUAGAUAUUUUCUGUGGGAUAGUUCUCUGCAGUUGGCAUCAUCUGUUUCUCUGAGGGGUCUUGAACCUCUACCAAGAUCCUUAUCAGGUUUCCUCCAUUGUCCACUCAACUCCUGCCAGCAUGAGUUGGCCAGCUGGCUAGCAGAGUGAUGAGCUCUGCCAUGGAUCACUCUUCUCAUGCAGCCCUGAAGACCAUGUUGUGUUUCUCAUUUCUUAGAGCCUUCUUGGGACCCUUUAUUGCCAUCUUGGUGCCUAAGAAAAGACCCCAACAUGAAAUAUAAAAUGUAUCUGUUUUAAAGACUCAGCACUGAAAUCUGGUAUUGUUGGAUGAUGACAGGACCAAGUAUCAAACCUGUUUAAGACAAUUCAAGUAUAUAGAAGUUGUUCUUUUGCACUGUAUUUUUUUUUUGGUUCACCAAUGCCAAAUCCUCUUACAUGACACAACUUUCCUCAAGACAUUUCCAAUCCAAUCAAUGACCUACAUCUGAAUUAUUUUCUGUAGGACACACACAUAGAUAUGCAGGUUUUAUGAUAUGUCUCCACCCAGUCAUCCUGAUGAGAAAAUUAACAUUCUGGAGCCAUCUCAGGUCAGAGAGGAGAAACAGAAAUCUAAUUUUCCCUUCCUGUGAGCUGGUGGAAGUCAUAAGGGGAAUGGUGGAAAACUAGCCAACAUGCCCAUGUUGUGAUUCUGUGGAAGCUAUUCCAUUUCUCAGAAGAAAAGCAAGAAACUUACACUUCCUGUGAGCUAACUACUGUAUUGGCUGGGAGAGGAGCACCACAAUCACCUCCUCCCACCACCAUCUGACUGGUUUAGAGGACAUGCUGAGUUGAUAGCAAUGGAGGUAUAAAAACAACUUAAUCCUUGUAUUACUUGAUUGGCUUUGCAGCCUAAGGAUAGUAUUCUUAAGCAUGUAUUUAAAUUGUGAAAUAAUGGUAAAAAAAAGUUGCAACAACUUCAUAAGUAUAUGAAACUUAACACUCUCCUAAACACCCAAUGGGUAACAGAUGAAAAAAGGAAGAAACUUAAAAAUAUCUACAACCUAACAAGAAUAUAGAUGCAAAAUCCUGUACCUUAUGGGAUUCAAUGAAAGCAGUCCAAAUAAGGAAAUUUAUAGUAGUCAAAUCUCACAUCAGGAAAUAGAAAGAACACAAACAAAUAAUGAAGUGUUGCAUCUCAAUCUUCCAGAAGAAGAAUGGCAAGACAAACACAAAUCCCAUACAAGGGAGGAAAUUAUAAGACCAGACAAGAAAGUCAUGCAAUGCAGAACAAGAAAAAUAUUCAAAGGAUUAACAAAUCAAACAGGUGGUUCACUGGAAGAAUAAACAAAAUUGAUUAACCCUUGGACAAUCAUAUCAAAAAAGAAAAAAAUAAAGAUUGAAAAACCAUGCACUGAGGAAUCAGAAGGAUAAAAUAACUACAGAUCUUGUGAAAAUUCAGAAGAUCAUCAAAAUCUACUGGAAAAAUGUAUACUUUCAUAGGUUAGAAAAUAUAGAAAUGCACCGAUACCUAGAUAAAUAUGAAAUGCCAAUUCUGUUCCAAGAAGAUAUAAAAAUUCUGAAAAACACAGUAUCAGUUAAUGAGAAUGAAGAUUUAAUAAAAAUUUAUCAGCUGCUGGGCAUGGUGGUACAGAACUUUGGAGGCUAAGGUACAAGUAUUGUUUUGAGUUUGAGACUAAACAAGGCUACAAAGUGAGCUCAAGGCCAACUUGAACUGAAUGAGAGCUGGUCUCAUGAGCACAUUGAAAAAUAAGAAAAACAAUGACAACAGAAAAGCAAAUGAUCAACAUAAAAAAAGUCUAGGUCCUGGUGGAUUUACUGCUGGAUUCUACAAUAAAUGUAGAAAAAAAAUUUAAGGCCACGGCUGUUUAAUGAUAUUGAAAGAGAAGCUCUUCUCCCUAACUCAUGCCUUGAGGCAAGUAUUACCCCGAUACUAACACCAGAGGAAGACCCAACCAAAAGAAGAAAACUAUGGGACAGUUUUCCUAAUGAACAUAGAAGCAAAAGUCCUUAACAAGACACUAGCAAAGUGAAUGUAGCAAAUAAUAAAGAAGAUUUUAAAACCUGACCAACUUGGAUUCAUCCCAGGAAGGCAGGGAUGUUUCAGUACAUGCAAAUCAACAAAUUUAAAUGUCAUAUCAACACAGGCAAAAACAAAAGUCACAUGGUGAUCAUCUCAAUAAAUGCACAAUAAGCUUUUGAUAAAGUCAAGCACUGAACUGUGAUAAAACCCUACAGUAAAUAACAACAGAUGACCUUUACCUCAAGCUGAUAAAAUAAAAUAAUGACGGGGCUGGGGAUUUAGCUCAGUGGCAUAAGCACCUGCCUUGCAAUUGUGUGGUCAUGAGUACAAUUACCAGUACCAAUAAAAAAGAAAAUGACAAAAAAUUCAGACAAUGACAAAGAAAACCCCGCAUCAUACUAAAUGGAGAAUAACUGAAAACUUUCAUUCUACAGUUAUAAAAGGACAUGGAUGACUACUAUGACCACUCCUAUUCAAUAUAGCUCUGGAAACACUAGACAAAACAAUUAGACAUAAGAGAGAAAUAAGAAUAAGUAUAUAAUAGAAAAUAGUUAAAUUAUCAUUAUUCAAAGAUGAUAUGAUAUUCUAAAUAGAAGAUGCUGAAAACUCCACCAAAACAGUCCUAGAAUUAAUAAGCAAAUUCAAAAAUGUAGCUGGAGACAAAGUUGACAAUCAAAAAUCAAUAGAUUCCUGUACACAAUCAACAAACUCACCAAGAGAGAAGUUACAGAAACCACACCAUUUAAAAUAUCCUCCAAGUAAAUGAAAUACUUGGAAAGAACCUAACAAAGAAAGUAAAGUACUUACAUAUUGAAAAUUAUAGUACUUUGGAAAUGAUAUUGAAGAUUAUCAGAAAAUAGAAAAAUAUCCCCUGCCCAUUCUGAGCAUUGUCUUUUCAUUCUGUUAGUGAUUUCUUUUGAUGUACAAAUAAUUUUUAAUAAGAUGGGGUCACCGUAGUUGAUUCUUUAAAAUGUGUUUUUUGUUCAGGAAGCCUCAUUAGUGUUUCUGUUUUAAUAUUUAGAUCUUUGAUCUAGUUUAACAUAUUUAUUUCAUAAUGAUAGACAUUUCUCCAGUUUAAGUCUUCAGUAGGAGGAAAGUCAUUUUCUUCAGCACCAUUUAUUGAGGAGGCUGUCUCUCUUCCACUGAACAUAUUUGGCUCCUUUGUCAAAGACAAGGUAGCAGAGUGUGUUUGUAGUUCUAUUUGCAUUUUCUAGACUUUUUGGAUGAUUCUCAGGUCUGUUUUUCUGCCAGAACAAUUCUGAUUUUCUGAUAGUAACUUUCUAGUAUUAUAGCAAGUCAGGAAUUGUGAUGCUUCUUGAAUUGCCUUUGUUGCCCAGCAAUGUCUUUGGUGACCUAGAGCAUUUCUGUUUCCAAAUGAAUUUUAGAAAUGUUUUCUCUACAUUUGUGAGCUAUCUUAAUGGUAUUUUUUUUUGGCAAUGCAUUACAUCUAUAUGACAAUUUGAAGUAAGAUUUUUUGAGUUUUCUCUAUAUCCUUGAAGGUAGUUUUACUGGUCUCUUAUACUCACCAGAUGAAACCUAACAGGUAUGAUUCUAAGAGUUUCAAACUGUUGAGUUCUUCUUCCCAAGGAUAUCCACAAUAAUAUGAUAUUUUUGUCUGUUUGUUUGAGACAGGAUUUCCCUAUGCAGUUCAGGAUGACUGUGGACUCACUUCUUAGUCCUGUAAAUUCAAACAGAUUGUCCUACUUCAGCCUCUUAAGUCCUGGGAUUACAGGUGUGCACCGAACGCUUGAAAGAAUUAAUGCUGUUAUUUGAAACAUGAAGAAACAGUCAUGAGAUACUCAUGUAUUCAUUAACUGCCAUUCUCUUAAAGGAAAUAUGUCCAAUUUAACACAUAACCUCAUUGGAAUAUAGGGAAUCACAAGAUAAGUUUCUAUCUCUUAUGGGCUGGUGAUGCCAGUCUAGACUACUGCAGAAACAGGAGAUGUCACAGGUAGGAAUAUGAAUCAAAUGUGAGUAUUAGUAUUAAGAACUCAGAGAGUCUUGUAUUUAGGGAUGAUGAGGAAAAGACCAGUGGAAAACAAUGAGUGACCAAGUGAGAUUAGCUUGUCCUGACUGUAGAUCACAUUUUAUUAUAAGGAUUAACAUCACAAGUUAUGACAUAUUCAAACAUUAUGUGCUUUUUACUCUAGAAAAUAGUAAGGCUUGGCACUGUAGCUCAGCUGUAUUGUAGCUUGGUAUAACAGAUGCCGUCCUGCACCCUGCAUUUAUCUAGUGCCCUGUAUUUGACCCAGGAAAAUUAAAAAAGCACUCAGGGUAUAAGUUCCAUGAGAAAAACAAAAGGAGCUGUAUCCAAAGAAAAAAAGUAACCUCCUAAAAAAAGAAGCAGGAUACAGGUGUCAAAUAAAAAUUCAUUUAAGAUUCUAGCUAAAUUGUUUCAAAGCAGGAUGUCUUUUGUGAUUCUCUCUUUUAAAAAUGCUUAACAAUCCAGUUCAGGGCCACUUGUUUUGAUUCUGAAAUGGGGAAGGGGUCUGUAUACAAGUUGUGUGUUCUGAUCUCAGCUACUUAAAUCCCAAAUUUAUCCUUUGGAUGAUUGAGUUCCUAUACUGUUGUUCACAAACUCACCUCAAGAUGCAGAAAGAUUUACUGACACAAGCAAGCAUCUGGAUUAAAUGUCAGUGCCCCUGAAAUGAAAGAAUAAUAGUGAAAAGAGGGAAGAAAAUGAGAAACACCAUGUGUUAUAAUGCCCACCUCUUUUCCACAGCAUUAAAGAGGCUGAAACAGGAGAAUGGCCAUGUAUUCAAGGACAAUCUAACCUACACAGUGAGAGUGAAAGGCCAGCCAGAACUACAAAGUAAGACUAUGUCUUUAAAAACAAAAAAUAAUAAUGAAAAAUGUAGAAAACCAA